Molecule: long non-coding RNA, 656 nt
Organism: Sitodiplosis mosellana (orange wheat blossom midge)
Lineage: Eukaryota; Metazoa; Arthropoda; Insecta; Diptera; Cecidomyiidae
Exons: 3
Source: RefSeq, a predicted model, not a curated record
CAUGUGACGAAUUGGACGAAAGUAAUAAAUUCCUGUGUGAUGACAAUUCGUGCAUUUCGAAAGCAUUCAAAUGUGAUGGUGAGGUGAAUUGUCCGAGUGGUGAAGAUGAAAAUCCACAAGAAUGUGAAUGCAACGAGAAUGAGUUUACAUGUGACGAUGGUUCAUGCAUUGACAAAGAAAGUUUGUGCAAUGGAAUAAGAGACUGUGCGGAUGAUGAGGAUGAGGAUCCAGUCAAUUGUCCAUCCGAACCAUAUUUGUCCACAACAACUGAAGAAUCCAUUGAAGAGCCUGAAUAUACUACGCCAAUACCGACCACGGAAUAUCCCGAUAUAACAACUGAAGAUUGAAAUCUAUUUCGAUGCGAAAACAACGUAUCGAUUCCAAUUGAAAAGAAAUGUGAUGGCAUUUAUCAUUGUCGCUUUACAAAACCGUUUAACCCAUCCGAUCUUAGCGAUGAGAAAAAUUGCCGUAAGUUUCAAUGAUUGUUUCGUACAAACUCUCAAACGAUUUAUCGACGAUAUUUUAAAAAUCGACGCGUUUUGUUUUUCACCUUGGAUCACUUUGGGAAAUAUGCGAAAUUGAUUGAAACAUGAAGUCAAUUUAUUUUCACGUUUCAAUAUGACAAUUGGUUGAAUACCAACUCAAUCGUUGAAUAC